Molecule: ribosomal RNA, 495 nt
Filed under: uncultured bacterium
Lineage: Bacteria
Description: partial 16S ribosomal RNA
Rfam family: Bacterial small subunit ribosomal RNA
Source: RNAcentral
GACGAACGCUGGCGGCGUGCCUAAUACAUGCAAGUCGAACGAUGAAGGAGGAGCUUGCUUCUCUGGAUGAGUUGCGAACGGGUGAGUAACGCGUAGGUAACCUGCCUGGUAGCGGGGGAUAACUAUUGGAAACGAUAGCUAAUACCGCAUAAUAUUGACUAUUGCAUGAUAGUCAGUUGAAAGGUGCAACUGCACCACUACCAGAUGGACCUGCGUUGUCUUAGUUAGUUGGUGGGGUAACGGCGCACCAAGGCGACGAUACCUAGCCGACCUGAGAGGGUUGUCAGCCACACUGGGACUGAGACACGGCCCAGACGCCUACGGGAGGCAGCAGUAGGGGAUCUUCGGCAAUGGACGGAAGUCUGACCGAGCAACACCGCGAGAGUGAAGAAGGUUUCCGGAUCGUAAAGCUCUGUUGUCAGAGAAGAACGAGUGUGAGAGUGGAAAGCUCACACCGUGACGGUAUCUUACCAGAAAGGGACGGCUAACUACGUG